AGAAUCAACGCUGGCGGCGUGCCUAACACAUGCAAGUCGCACGAGAAAGGGUAGCAAUACCUGAGUACAGUGGCGCACGGGUGAGUAACACGUGAAUAAUCUACCUCCGAGUGGGGAAUAACUGAGAGAAAUCUUAGCUAAUACCGCAUAACACUUACGAGUCAAAGCAGCAAUGCGCUUGGAGAGGAGUUCGCGGCAGAUUAGUUAGUUGGCGGGGUAAUGGCCCACCAAGACGAUGAUCUGUAUCCGGCCUGAGAGGGCGCACGGACACACUGGAACUGAAACACGGUCCAGACUCCUACGGGAGGCAGCAGUGGGGAAUUUUGCGCAAUGGGGGAAACCCUGACGCAGCAACGCCGCGUGGAGGAUGAAGCCCCUUGGGGUGUAAACUCCUUUCGAUAGGGAAGAUAAUGACGGUACCUAUAGAAGAAGCCCCGGCUAACUUCGCGCCAGCAGCCGC
RNAcentral lists this ribosomal RNA (460 nucleotides) under uncultured bacterium. Its description in RNAcentral is "SSU rRNA". It matches the Rfam family "Bacterial small subunit ribosomal RNA", at positions 26 to 518 of the family's 1533-position model. The record is from RNAcentral.